GGUAAGGUAACGGCUUACCAAGGCAACGAUGCAUAGCCGACCUGAGAGGGUGAUCGGCCACACUGGAACUGAGACACGGUCCAGACUCCUACGGGAGGCAGCAGUAGGGAAUCUUCCGCAAUGGGCGAAAGCCUGACGGAGCAACGCCGCGUGAGUGAUGAAGGUCUUCGGAUCGUAAAACUCUGUUAUUAGGGAAGAACAUAUGUGUAAGUAACUGUGCACAUCUUGACGGUACCUAAUCAGAAAGCCACGGCUAACUACGUGCCAGCAGCCGCGGUAAUACGUAGGUGGCAAGCGUUAUCCGGAAUUAUUGGGCGUAAAGCGCGCGUAGGCGGUUUUUUAAGUCUGAUGUGAAAGCCCACGGCUCAACC
RNAcentral lists this ribosomal RNA (371 nucleotides) under Staphylococcus aureus. Its description in RNAcentral is "bacterial SSU rRNA". It matches the Rfam family "Bacterial small subunit ribosomal RNA", at positions 251 to 614 of the family's 1533-position model. The record is from RNAcentral. Lineage: Bacteria; Bacillati; Bacillota; Bacilli; Caryophanales; Staphylococcaceae.